ACCCAAAUGUGACCUCAGUCUGACCCUGAGCACAGGGGCAAGACUCUCUAGCCAGGAACCUUUGGGUUUAAGUCCCAGCAGGAGCAUUGGCACAACCCAGUCCCCACCUGCAGCCUGGGCUGCAGCCAACAGCCAAUGCCUCUGGAAAAGGGUUUAAAAAAGCAACCCUGACACACGUAGCAGCAGGAGGGGAAAAUAAAUCCCGUUCCAGCCCCAUGGAGCAACCAGCAAAGCCCAGACGCAUGGGCAACACCCAGAGCAGAAUAUAGACAUUGCUACAUCUACAUCAUCCCCGACCAGUGGCUGUGUCCAACCUCUUCUUGAGCACCUCCAGUGAUGGAGACGCCACACCUUCCCCAGGCCACUGCCUCGAUGCUUGAACACUGCAGAAAGUUUUUCUAGAGAACCAAUCUAAACAGACUUUGCUGCAACUUUAAGCCACGGGUCUGGGCCGUACUCUGCAGUAAGAAAGAAAAGCUGCUUUCCCUCUCCUUUAUGACAGCCCUUCAGGUAUUUGCAGACUGCCAUCAUAUCCCCUCUUAAGUGCCUUUUCAACAAGAUGAACGUGCCCAACUCCUUCAGCCUCUCUUGGCCUGACCUGCCUUCCAAGUCCUUUAUCAUCUUUAGUGCCCGUCUCUGGACCCUCUAACUUCUCCCCAUCUUUUUUAAAGAUAUGGAGCCCAAAAACACACAAACGAUUCCCCAUGGGAGAGGGGCUGAAGGGAACAUUGUGCUUGCAUCUGACUGCCUGAACAGCACAGCUCCCAGAUGAAUUUCUGGCUGCAGGACAGCCUGCCUUCCAGGCUGGGAUUUGAGAGGCCUGCUGUGCUCCCCACCCCGGUGAGCAGGAAUGCGGCUCCUCCCCGGCCCAGACAGGAAGCCUGCGGCAGGGCAGAGAGCUGGGCUUGGAAUCCCAGGCUCGCAACCAAGCUCCCCUUGCUCGGGUGCCCUUAACUCAGGGAGCAGCUGCAUUCGCAGCUCGCGGAGACUGGUCGAGGGCUGCUGCUCAGGGAGUCGAGCUGGAACCCGGCGUGGUGAAAAGCACGAGUGGUCCUACCCGGCCCAAGAGAUGCUUGGCUCACAGCCUCAAACCUUCAGCCUGGGGAAAGAAACACACGCGCACACUUCAGCAGAUUCCAUGCAUCCAGACCCGCUCCACUGAUAAAAGCAAGGCAAAGCGCUGACAGGCCGGGUUGAGUGACCGUGACAGCCUCCAAGGAGGGAACAAGGCCUGGAGCGAGCACCCUGGUAUAUUCCAUGCAAAAAAGUUUCUUGAAUGAAGCGUGGAGGAAAAAAUGGAAAGGAAAGCGAGUACAGCAGAGUAGCAGGUACCUCCCCCUGGCGGCUGCCAGUCUGUAGCACAUGAUGCCGGGAGCCCAUCACCGUCACCAUCGUCGUCACCGUCACCGUCACCUCCAGCGCCUGGCGUUCAGAUCAAGAGCAUUGCGACUUCUCUCCUCCCCUCCAAUGACUUGGCUGGUGACACAGCACAGCUGCAGGUCAGGUCGCUGUUCCAGGAUCUUCUUGCUCUUUCCGUGGCAGGCUGGAACUUGCUGCGUAAGGGACACGGUUACAGGCCCAGCCCUCAAUUGGGCACGGCGAGAGCCAGAGACUUGCGAGUCGGUUGCCAUUAGAGGGUAAUUUUAAAGAUUAGUUUUUAUUUGGAGGAAAACAGAAAAAAAAACCGAAAACAGAACAAAACAAAAAAAAACCCAAGGGGGUGGGGGGGGGGUGGGCAGGGGGACACA
Molecule: long non-coding RNA, 1748 nt
Organism: Alligator mississippiensis (American alligator)
Lineage: Eukaryota; Metazoa; Chordata; Crocodylia; Alligatoridae
Exons: 2
Source: RefSeq, a predicted model, not a curated record